RNAcentral lists this ribosomal RNA (460 nucleotides) under uncultured bacterium. Its description in RNAcentral is "partial 16S ribosomal RNA". It matches the Rfam family "Bacterial small subunit ribosomal RNA", at positions 338 to 795 of the family's 1533-position model. The record is from RNAcentral.
CCUACGGGAGGCAGCAGUGAGGAAUAUUGGUCAAUGGACGAGAGUCUGAACCAGCCAAGUAGCGUGAAGGAUGACUGCCCUAUGGGUUGUAAACUUCUUUUAUAAAGGAAUAAAACGAGGCACGUGUGCCCUUUUGCAUGUACUUUAUGAAUAAGGAUCGGCUAACUCCGUGCCAGCAGCCGCGGUAAUACGGAGGAUCCGAGCGUUAUCCGGUAUUAUUGGGUUUAAAGGGAGCGUAGAUGGGUUGUUAAGUCAGUUGUGAAAGUUUGCGGCUCAACCGUAAAAUUGCAAUUGAUACUGGCAGUCUUGAGUACAGUUGAGGUAGGCGGAAUUCGUGGUGUAGCGGUGAAAUGCUUAGAUAUCACGAAGAACCCCGAUUGCGAAGGCAGCUUACUAAACUGUGACUGACAUUGAUGCUCGAAAGUGUGGGUAUCAAACAGGAUUAGAUACCCCUGUAGUC